Molecule: ribosomal RNA, 581 nt
Filed under: uncultured bacterium
Lineage: Bacteria
Description: bacterial SSU rRNA
Rfam family: Bacterial small subunit ribosomal RNA
Source: RNAcentral
AAGGGAGAGGAUAAGGUAGAAAUCUACCCUCGGGACGGGGAUAGCUGCGGGAAACUGCUGGUAAUACCCGAUAAUAUCUUUGGAUCAAAGGUGUGAUUCCGCCUGGGGAUGAGUCUACUUCCUAUUAGCUAGUUGGCAGGGUAAUGGCCUACCAAGGCAACGAUGGGUAGCGGGUGUGAGAGCAUGACCCGCCUCACUGGGACUGAGAACUGCCCAGACACCUACGGGUGGCUGCAGUCGAGAAUCUUCGGCAAUGGGCGCAAGCCUGACCGAGCGACGCCGCGUGCGGGAUGAAGGCCCUCGGGUUGUAAACCGCUGUCGUAGGGGAACAAAUGUAGUGGGGUUCUCCCCAUUACUUGAGUGAUCCUGGGAGGAAGGGGAGGCUAAGCUCGUGCCAGCAGCCGCGGUAAGACGAGCUCCCCGAACGUUAUUCGGUAUUACUGGGCUUAAAGAGUUCGUAGGCGGCCCGACAGGUGAGGUGUGAAAUCCCUCGGCUCAACCGAGGAACUGCGCUUCAAACCGUCAGGCUUGAGGGAGAUAGAGGUGAGCGGAACAGAUGGUGGAGCGGUGAAAUGCGUUGA